RNAcentral lists this ribosomal RNA (253 nucleotides) under uncultured bacterium. RNAcentral describes it as "partial 16S ribosomal RNA". It matches the Rfam family "Bacterial small subunit ribosomal RNA", at positions 524 to 776 of the family's 1533-position model. The record is from RNAcentral.
UACGUAGGGGGCAAGCGUUGUCCGGAUUUAUUGGGCGUAAAGAGCGUGUAGGCGGCCAUACAGGUCCGUUGUGAAAACUCGAGGCUCAACCUCGAGACGCCGAUGGAAACCGUAUGGCUAGAGUCCGGAAGAGGAGAGUGGAAUUCCUGGUGUAGCGGUGAAAUGCGCAGAUAUCAGGAAGAACACCCGUGGCUAAGGCGGCUCUCUGGGACGUGACUGACGCUGAGACGCGAAAGCGUGGGGAGCGAACAGG